GCAUUGGUGGUUUAGUGGUAGAAUUCCCGCCUCCCACACAGGAGACUUGGGUCUGAUUCCCAGCCAACACA
Non-coding RNA from Danio rerio (zebrafish), 71 nucleotides. NCBI's taxonomy places the organism in Eukaryota, Metazoa, Chordata, Actinopteri, Cypriniformes, Danionidae. The record is from Rfam.